AUGGGUUACUACUCCUAAAACACAUACUACAUAGAACUUAUGGUACAUGCAACAUUUGUUUUGUGUGGUACUGUGUCAUUCUGAAUCGAGCCUGGAUCAUUUUUGGAGGAGUUAAACCGUGCAUGUAAAGCACUGUCAAAAUAAUGGUUGACUGUCUACAGAUGCCCCUGGACACUGAUGAGGACCACUCCUAUAACAAGAGGCCUUACAGCUUCCUUCCUAAAGAGUCGUAAGAUGGAACUUUGUUCUCAUGACCUCGCCAAGAACAUGAGUGAGGAAGCGCACCAAAGGCUGAAGGACUUGUGAAAGAUUCCGAGGAGUUUAUUAUUUAUUCAAUAUUUUUUUAAGUUGACCAGCUCUGAUUUUCCAUUUGAUGUUCUGUUCAAUAAAUGUUCAUUGAGGAAAA
Gymnodraco acuticeps is the source of this 406-nucleotide long non-coding RNA. RefSeq lists it as uncharacterized. NCBI's taxonomy places the organism in Eukaryota, Metazoa, Chordata, Actinopteri, Perciformes, Bathydraconidae. The transcript has 2 exons. The record is from RefSeq and is a predicted model, not a curated record.